RNAcentral lists this ribosomal RNA (257 nucleotides) under uncultured bacterium. RNAcentral describes it as "partial 16S ribosomal RNA". It matches the Rfam family "Bacterial small subunit ribosomal RNA", at positions 524 to 776 of the family's 1533-position model. The record is from RNAcentral.
UACGAAGGGGGGCUAGCGUUGCUCGGAAUUACUGGGCGUAAAGCGCACGUAGGCGGCUCUUUAAGUCGGGGGUGAAAUCCUGGAGCUCAACUCCAGAACUGCCUUCGAUACUGAAGAGCUCGAGUCCGGGAGAGGUGAGUGGAACUGCGAGUGUAGAGGUGAAAUUCGUAGAUAUUCGCAAGAACACCAGUGGCGAAAGGCGGCUCACUGGCCCCGGGUACUGACGCUGAGGUGCGAAAGCGUGGGGAGCAAACAGG